RNAcentral lists this ribosomal RNA (209 nucleotides) under uncultured bacterium. RNAcentral describes it as "partial 16S ribosomal RNA". It matches the Rfam family "Bacterial small subunit ribosomal RNA", at positions 118 to 334 of the family's 1533-position model. The record is from RNAcentral.
UCGGUACCUACUGAGAGGAAUACCACCGAGAAAUCGGUGACAAGACCGCAUAGCUUUCUUGCACAAGAAAGAAAGUCUCUCUUUGGAGAGACGCCUCAAGAUGGGCCUGUGCCUGAUUAGCUGGUUGGUGGGGUAAGAGCCUACCAAGGCGACGAUCAGUAGCUGGUCUGAGAGGAUGAUCAGCCACACUGGGAUUGAGAACGGCCCAG